GGGGAUGUCUUGGUUUCGACGGGGUAGGUAGAAUAUAAAACGCAGUCGGGUUGUCGCGUUAAAGACAAAAACAAAUAUCUGGCAACAGAACAUCUUAUUCUUACGCAGCUUGCUAAUUAAGCCACUUGAUGUGUCCCUAUAGGUGGGAUCGUAAGCAUCACUCUAAGUUUGAUCCCUUGAUUUAGAAGUGGUGUAAAACUAAGGGAAUAAGAUCUAAUGAUUUCUAUAAGUUAGAUACGAAAAAAAAUAUAGGAUAGUCAAAGGUUGAUUCGUUAAUUAGUCUUACCUUUGAUGAAACUUACUAGUUAACUAAACUGUAGUGGGUUAUAUGGGACUUAUUUCGGACAGGAGUUCAAUUCUCCUCAUCUCCACCA
This 374-nucleotide transfer-messenger RNA is filed under the name Bacilli bacterium. It matches the Rfam family "transfer-messenger RNA". From Rfam's summary of the family: Bacterial tmRNA, also known as 10Sa RNA or SsrA, is named for its dual tRNA and mRNA-like properties. The record is from RNAcentral. RNAcentral also lists the same sequence under 2 other names. Lineage: Bacteria; Bacillati; Bacillota; Bacilli.